GCGCCUGUAGCUCAAUGGUAGAGCAUCUGUCUUAUACACAGAUGGUUGUAGGUUCGAAUCCUACCGGGCGCA
RNAcentral lists this transfer RNA (72 nucleotides) under Candidatus Uhrbacteria bacterium. Its description in RNAcentral is "tRNA-Ile". It matches the Rfam family "tRNA". Rfam says of the family: Transfer RNA (tRNA) molecules are approximately 80 nucleotides in length. Their secondary structure includes four short double-helical elements and three loops (D, anti-codon, and T loops). Further hydrogen bonds mediate the characteristic L-shaped molecular structure. tRNAs have two regions of fundamental functional importance: the anti-codon, which is responsible for specific mRNA codon recognition, and the 3' end, to which the tRNAs corresponding amino acid is attached (by aminoacyl-tRNA synthetases). tRNAs cope with the degeneracy of the genetic code in two manners: having more than one tRNA (with a specific anti-codon) for a particular amino acid; and 'wobble' base-pairing, i.e. permitting non-standard base-pairing at the 3rd anti-codon position. The record is from RNAcentral. Lineage: Bacteria; Candidatus Uhriibacteriota.